AAAUAAAUUAUUAUAUAUAAUAAAAUAAAAUAUAUUAUUUUAAAUUAGAUUCUUACAUAAAAUAUUAUAUUAUAAAUUACUAUAUGAAAUAAUUUUAUAAAUAAUUUUAUAUAAAAUAUACUAAUAUAAAUUAAUUAUUUUAUUUUUUAAAAUAUAUUUAGACAUUAUUCUAGACUUUUUAUCCAAACGCUACUAAAGAUAUCCUCUAGAAUAUUCUUGAAUGCAUCCAAAUACAAAUUUAUAAUUGUUCUAUUUUGUACCCGAAUAUCUCAUAUUCUUGAAAAUAAUAAAAAUUGUUCUUCAAAAUUUAGUUCUCCAACCAAACGCAGCCUAAAUGAAAAAGGAAUCCGAAAA
Molecule: long non-coding RNA, 354 nt
Filed under: Ananas comosus (pineapple)
Lineage: Eukaryota; Viridiplantae; Streptophyta; Magnoliopsida; Poales; Bromeliaceae
Description: long non-coding RNA (ACOM_LNC040593)
Source: RNAcentral